AUGGCAAAAGAAGACGCGUCAGGGUUGGUUGCGCCGAGUGGGGGCCAAGACAGGCUUCCUGGAGGACGAGGAAGAGCUGGGAGAGGAGCGGCAGGACCGCAAAGGCGCCCCUGGGGACGGCGGACUCUCCUGGGCUGGUUGAGCCGGAUUGGCCACUGCCCCAGGCCCGGGCGGCCGUGGUUCCUGGGGCUAAGCGCUGGACAGGCUCCAGCGCCAGCCUCAGGCGCAAGCCGGACACUUGGGGCCUCCCUCACCCUGGCUGCGGGGCGGAGCCGCACCUGCAGCCGCCCGGCUGUCGCCGCUGCGCACCUGGCUCAGGCCUGGACCCCAGGCCCGAGGCUUCCUGAGGCGCCGGCGCCGGACAGAGAAACAGGCUGGGACCAGGGCUCGCCGGACGCCAGCGGAGCUUCCGCCAUCCGCGCUGCUGCGCUCGGAGCGCUGCGACCAGCCAUCCGCGUCCCCGCCUCGGUGCGCGCCCCCACGCGCGAUUCGCGCACUCCCGCCCUCCGUGCGCGUUCCCGACCCGCCUGCUCGCCGCACCCGGAGGGUGUGGGGUACCAAGGCGGUCCCUCUCCUACCAGUGGAGCGGAGCGCGGGAGGUGGAGCAUGAGAGCAGGAGAGCUGGUCAUCGGGGGCCGGGGGAGCGAGACCGAGCCCUUGGUCCGCGGGGCUGCAGCCUUUUACGCAUGUUCCAUCCCUCAGGAGAGACGCAGGGGUGGCGCGUCGAAGAUAGGAGGGAGACGCGCGGAGAUUGCGGGUGCUGAGCAGCGAGCCAGCCGGGGUGGGGGAUGGCGCAGCGAGCGCUGGUCUGAAGCGCCAGGCGGUCAGGGAGGCCUUCCCCGCGCGUGCAGGGCCCGAGGGCAGGAGGAGCUGACGCUUUCUAGGAAUGACAGAGUGUGGGGUGCAGUGCAGGGUGACCGAGGGGCCAGGCUCGUACUUCGAUUCUGGUCGUCCUGGGGAGUGGACUUAGGGGCAGGGAGCAGAGUAGGACAGAGCAGUGGACAUUAACAAAGGGAGGGGAGGAGGAGGCAUCAAGCCAUGUCAGGCCAGACCUGGGAGAUGGUCACACAGUCUAGGGCACAAACUGGAGAGUCUGGCAGACCUCCAGGCCUCUGCACUUCCUGCCUCCAUGUUCCUUAAGUUUCCUAGCCUGAAGUGUGGGGGAUACAGCCUCCCUUCUUGGGAAGGGGUAUUGCUACUCAGGAGGGCCCACCAUGCACCUUUAAGGAGGGCAGGUACACCUCCAAAGUGUGUAGAGGGAGCUGAGGCCUGUGGGGUUGGGGUGCUGCCUCCUCAGCUCUUUCCCAACCUGAGCCCAAGGUGCACCUUGACCUGAGGGUUGAGCACCAGGCCACAGGAGGGUCUAAGCAGGGCUGAGGAUGCUCAGAAGUUGCUGCUCCAGGCUCCUCCUCUGCUGGGGCAGGGAGACUGGAGGGGACCCCUGUCUUAUACAGUGGGUAAUACCAACCCCUUGUCCCUGGGACCUGACUCCCAGGUCAGUGGGGGUGCCAGGAGAAGCCAGCUACCCCUUGCCUUGCUCAGAGGCAAGAGCCUCGGCCAUGGCUGCCUGCAUUUGCUUCCUUAUCUAGAAAGGACCCUGCCCCCUCAGCCCAGCCCACCCAGCCUGAAGCUAAGGUCCAUAGGAUACCGUAGCUCCUUGUGGCUACUCACUCAUUUUGGAGUGUAGGCAUGAGGCAACCUAGGUAAUCAAUGACCGAUAGAGAAGGACAGCUAUGCCUGGGAGAUGAACAGAGGGCAGAAGAGCCCUGCUGGAGGCCCCACUAUUGACUGGGAACUUCUGAACCUGGCCUCCCCACCCCCUACAGACCUGUAGAGCAACAUGGAUGACUCCUCCCCAGUUGAGUUUUGACUAGCCUCAUGGGGUGUCCAGGAGGCAGGUUGCACUGCCCUGUCCUUGUGUGUGCAGGACAGUCCUUCUGGGGGUCUCUUUGCCAGAACCCCCACACAUACUGAACAGAGGGAAGUGCAGUGCCUGGGUGGGCUGGGCGGGCCCCAAAGGAAGGAGCUGCCUGACUCAGCUACAGGAAGAACAGGGGCAGGCGUGGUGAAAACCACCAACUGCAGGGGAAGGGGUGGGUGCCUGGGUGGGGUUUAAGUUUAGGAGAGGAUGUGACUGCAAGGCCAGGAAGCUACAGGGGAAAGUUCUGAUUAAAAUAUACAUAAACAAAAGCCAAGUCCUCACUGUGCUUGGUAGCGGAUCCCUGGCAGGUGUGGUGCUGUGGACACUGCUUGGGGCCCAGUAGAGAGUUUGCUUCCAAAUGCACAUCCAUGAUCACUCCCCCUCACCAGGAAAGAGUUGAAACCUGGUGAUGAUGCCCUCCCUGCGUCAGCACCUGUCCUUGCAACUGGGCCUGGUGACAGGAGGCCUACAGCACACAGUGAACACACCUGCAUGUGUGUGCACACAUAUGUGAGAAUGAGGGCAGCAGGAGGCUGCCAGUGCCACACUGGCAGGGGUCUCAGGAUAGGUGUGAGGUACAGUGUGGAGGCUUCAGGAUGCUUGUGCCCCUAUGCUUUUUGAGAGAAGUUCAAAGUGUCCUGUGUGCUGAGGAGGCAAAAAGGGUGUGUGGUAGGAAGUGUGCUGUGUGGGGUCUGCUAGUGUGCGCACAGGCUGAGCCUGGGGCUCAGUGCAGGUGUGCAUGGGCCAGAGACAGGGUUGCUUAUACCAGGGUAUGCAGAGGAAGGGUGCAAGGGAGGGUGCAGGGGAGAGGGUGUAGGAAGGGUGUACAGAGAAGGGGUGAAAAAAGGGCUCAGGGGAGUGUGUGCAGAGGAGAGAAUGCAAGAAGGGUGUACAGAGGAAGGCUGCAGGGGAAGAGGGUGCAGAGGAAGGUGGGGGGGAGGUGCAGGGGGACAUGUACAAGGGAGUGUACCUGAUGCUUGCUGUGUUUAUAUCCUGACACUGUGGCCUCAACUUUCAGAAGAGUCUGAGGCUGCUCUUGCAGGGUUCCAGGUCUGAGCUGGGCGGUGGGGGGAUUUGAGAGGCCACUGCAGGGAGGGUACAUUGCACAGGGGAGUGUCUCUUACAGUCCCUCAAUGGGCAGUUCUCCUGCUUCAAAAACUUUCCCGGGGCUAUCUUCUUCCCCAAAGGGUUUCUGGAAGGACCCCUUAUCAGUGCCCCAGGGAGCAUGCCUGAGGCUCUAUCAGUUCCCCAGGAAAUGUCAGCCCAGCCAAGGUCACUGUGCCUCCCCCUGUGCAGAAGGAACAGUUACUGGUUAACUCCCUACCAAAGCCCCUGGGGCCAAAUCCCCGAGGUCCCUUCCCAAUGUGUCCACCCAGCAGGGACAAUAAGAAGUUCCCAUAGAAGAAGCAGGGUGAACCUGGGGUACCUAGGAAGGAGAGGAACCCCCAGGGCCUCAGGCACCUCCUUUUGCAGCCUCAUCACUGCAGAGUUCAAUGCGUCACAAGAGACAUCAGGGCUGGGAAUCAUCCUGGGCCCUGUGUAGAAGCAUUGCCCCUUGGUGGGGUAUGGACUUCCCAUGAAGAACUGGACAAAACAAUGUAGACAAAAGUCUUUGGGUUUGAAAGUGACAAGUCAGGUCACAAAGAGGGCACGGCUCUGGGAUCCAGAAGAAGGGAUGGCUGUUAGGCCCUUCAGAGUGGCUUCUGUCUCAGUUUGGCCCUGUUUACCCCUCCAGCCUCCAGGACCUCAGGGCACAGUUGAGCUCAGGGUGUCUGUAGGUGUCCCCAAUCUGCAUGCAUUUGUGGACUCGUGACCGAACCGGGAACAAAACCCCACAGUUGGGAGCAAGUGUGGGCCAGAGCCAGGCAACUAGGCACCUGCCCUGCUGGGGGGGGCUGUCGUGGGCACUGCAGCACCCACCCUCAUGUGACAGCCCCACUGCAGGAGACAGUAAGGAAUGAGACCAAUGGCCACCUUGUGAGAUGGGUCCCCCUGGUACAUGUCCACUGCACCCUGGGCAUCAUGGUGCCCUGAGGUCCUGGAGGCAGGAGGGGUAAACAGGGCCAGGCUGAGACAGAGGGUUGUCCUGCACCCCUGGGCCACAUGAGGUGAUCCCCAUUCUGAUCUUGUGUAAGGGACUCGAGACAACACCCAGCCAGUUCCUAGAAGUUCCACUGGUGGCCGUGAGGCUGGUAGGGUGGCAUCUGGUGAAGGGCCAGUGCUCUCUGAGGCCAACAGUUACUGGUUAACUCAUCCUGUUCCUGUUUAACUUGUUCCCUGCGGAUGGCGGCAGCCUCUGACCCAUCCAGGUGCUGUGCUCUGUCCAACUGACCACAAGGACAGAGAGGUGUCCUGCCAGCCCUUGGUGAACCAGUCUGCUCUGCUAAAGAGCCCUGUGGAGCUGGGGUGGCACCAGUGCCCAGCCUUCUGAAGGAGGCCCUGGUCAGAGCCAUGGCAGGGUCAAGCCUAACUUGUCUGAGACGCUCGUGUCCAGUGUUCUGGAGGUCAACUUGACCAGUACAGAGGACUACGGAACGUUUGCCUGUUCCAUCCUGAACGUCAGCUCUGCCUCCUUUACUCUGCGGAG
This is an RNA transcript of Nycticebus coucang (slow loris), 4508 nucleotides long. It is a transcript of the gene named single Ig and TIR domain containing, with no coding region annotated. The record is from RefSeq and is a predicted model, not a curated record. The transcript is spliced from 3 exons. NCBI's taxonomy places the organism in Eukaryota, Metazoa, Chordata, Mammalia, Primates, Lorisidae.